Molecule: ribosomal RNA, 428 nt
Filed under: Bacteroidota bacterium
Lineage: Bacteria; Pseudomonadati; Bacteroidota
Description: Bacteroidetes bacterium partial 16S ribosomal RNA
Rfam family: Bacterial small subunit ribosomal RNA
Source: RNAcentral
UAGGGAAUCUUCGGCAAUGGGGGGAACCCUGACCGAGCAACGCCGCGUGAGUGAAGAAGGUUUUCGGAUCGUAAAGCUCUGUUGUUAAGGAAGAACGAGUGUGAGAAUGGAAAGUUCAUACUGUGACGGUACUUAACCAGAAAGGGACGGCUAACUACGUGCCAGCAGCCGCGGUAAUACGUAGGUCCCGAGCGUGUCCGGAUUUAUUGGGCGUAAAGCGAGCGCAGGCGGUUAGAUAAGUCUGAAGUUAAAGGCAGUGGCUCAACCAUUGUAGGCUUUGGAAACUGUUUAACUUGAGUGCAGAAGGGGAGAGUGGAAUUCCAUGUGUAGCGGUGAAAUGCGUAGAUAUAUGGAGGAACACCGGUGGCGAAAGCGGCUCUCUGGUCUGUAACUGACGCUGAGGCUCGAAAGCGUGGGGAGCGAACAGG